This 262-nucleotide non-coding RNA is filed under the name Winogradskyella sp. Lineage: Bacteria; Pseudomonadati; Bacteroidota; Flavobacteriia; Flavobacteriales; Flavobacteriaceae. The record is from RNAcentral.
ACUUUUACGCCGAAAUCUGGUUUUAUUCAAUUUUUUUGAAUGAAUUAAAAGGGAAUUUGGUGAAAAUCCAAAACUGUUCCCGCAACUGUAAGUUUAUGCCGAACUGUUGUUUCGGCACCUCAAAAUAGAGGUUAUUAUUUACUUCAAUACCACUGAGAGAUUGCCACAGUUGACUGAAAAAAAGUCAACUUCGCAAUGACAUUCUUGGGAAGGUGAAAUAAUAAAGAUAAGUCAGGAGACCUGCCAAUUUCAACAAAGAAGU